This 504-nucleotide long non-coding RNA is filed under the name Gouania willdenowi (blunt-snouted clingfish). RNAcentral describes it as "lncRNA (ENSGWIG00000004001.1)". Lineage: Eukaryota; Metazoa; Chordata; Actinopteri; Blenniiformes; Gobiesocidae. The record is from RNAcentral.
AUGAAAUUGAUGGUAUCCAUCAUUUAUGUUGUUAAAUCUACUUAGUGUAUGUGUAUAUGGUUGGUGUAAUAACAUUUUUCCAAUUUAAUUUAAUAGAUGACAUCGUUGAUAUGGAUACAGCACAGCAACUUCCUAAUGUUUCCACUCUGCAAGACAAUGAAGACAUGUUGGCUUCUGCAACUUGUGGAUUGCCUCACCUCCCUGAGACCACAGCUCAAGGUUCCCGUGUUUCAUGAAGGCGGUGUGUGAAGAAACCAUGGACUGAGAAGGAGAUACAAGCUGUGAUGAAAUGGUUUAGGUCACGCAGGUUGGCGGUUGGUUCAGGACAUGAAAAUGUCCAUAAUACUAGUGAGCAAGGAUGCAAAGAUAGUUGCUGGUGGGGUUGAGUUCGUCCUUGUGGAUGCAAGCACUGCUUUUGUGUUGUGCUUGUAGGUUUUUGUCACUUCUAAAUUAUUUUGCUUGCAGGCAGGUUUUUGUUUGUACUGCUUUAUAAUUAGCCUGGAC